This 966-nucleotide ribosomal RNA is filed under the name uncultured bacterium. Its description in RNAcentral is "bacterial SSU rRNA". It matches the Rfam family "Bacterial small subunit ribosomal RNA", at positions 8 to 916 of the family's 1533-position model. The record is from RNAcentral.
AGAGUUUGAUCCUGGCUCAGAUUGAACGCUGGCGGCAUGCCUUACACAUGCAAGUCGAACGGUAACAGGCUUCGGACGCUGACGAGUGGCGAACGGGUGAGUAAUACAUCGGAACGUGCCCAGUCGUGGGGGAUAACUACUCGAAAGAGUAGCUAAUACCGCAUACGAUCUGAGGAUGAAAGCGGGGAGCCUUCGGGCCCUCGCCGCGAUUGGAGCGGCCGAUGGCAGAUUAUGGUAGUUGGUGGGAUAAAAGCUUACCCAAGCCGAGCCGAUUCUUGUAGCUUGGUCUGAAGAGGACGACCAGCCACACUGGGACUGAGGACCACGGCCCAGACUCCCUACGGGAGGCAGCAGUGGGGGAAUUUUGGACAAUUGGGCGAAAGCCUGAUCCAACAAUGCCCGCGUGCAGGAUGAAGGCCCUUUCGGGUUGUAAACUGCUUUUUUACGGAACGAAAAAGCUCCUUUCUAAUACAGGGGGCCCAUGACGGUACCGUAAGAAUUAAGCUACCGGCUAAUCUACCGUUGCCAGCAGCCCGCGGUAAUACGUAGGGUGCAAAGCGUUAAUUCUGGAAUUACUGGGCGUUAAAGCGUGGCGGCAGGCUGGUUAUUGUAAGACCAGAUGGUGAAAUCCCCCGGGCUUCUAACCUGGGGAAACUUGCAUUUUGUGGACUGCCAUUGGCUUAGAGUACGCGUAGAGGGGGAUGGAAUUCCGCCGUGUAGCUCAGUGAAAUGCGUAGACUAUGCGGAGGAACACCGAUGGCGCUAAGGCAAUCCCCUGGACCUGUACUUGUACGACUUCAUGCACGAAAGCGUGGGGAGCAAACAGGAUUAGAUACCCUGGUAGUCCACGCCCUAAACGAUGUCAACUGGUUGUUGGGAAUUAGUUUUCUCAGUAACCUAGCUAACGCGUGAAGUUGACCGCCUGGGGAGUACGGCCGCAAGGUUGAAACUCAAAUGAAUUGACGG